UAUGGCUUUGGCAUUGCUUUUUGGUAUUUUUUUUUUUUACAUAAUAUAUUUCGUUAAUAAAUGUAUUUUCUUCUCCCCUACAGUUCCGUUACAAGCUCCGCCCACGAUCCAUUUCCUGUCUGUUUAGCUUAUGACGUAUAGAGCGUUCCCACUUGCUCUAUACGUGCCUACAAUGCUCGUGCCCGGCGAAGAUAACCACUGCGCAUGCACAAAACAUAGACAACGCUUACAUGAAGUACAUAUCUGUGUGCAACUGGAGCCUGAUUGGCCACUGACUGAGAAACAGAAAUGUCAUAGCUUUGUUGGUGGACAGUGACACCCCCACCCCACAACAUAAAAACAAAAAAAUUUGCUUUCUGUGAUUUACAAAAAAAGAAAAAGAAAAACAGAAAACUUUCUAUAAUUGUAACUUCCUUUUGUUUGUAAUAUGUGGCUUAGAUAAACCAUUGCAGCGAUUCAUUAAGAUUGGAAUUUUGCUCUGGCUAUAUUUCUUCUUUUUUUGUUGGUUUGUGUUCAACGCAUAACUAAUAUGAACUUAAUUACACAUUGAAAUGUAUUAGAAUAGGGCCUAAGCAUAGGUACUUUAGCUUGCAUCCUUUGGUCAAACAUAAAAACAUGGUCUUUCAUACAAGGUUGGUGUAGGGAUUAGCUUUCUCUUUGCUUUUUAAGGAUUUGUACUCUAUAAUCAUUUUUUGUUUUGAAUACAACAUGUUAAAAUGACAAUGUAUUCAGUCAAGACGCUAAUAAGUGUCCAUUGUAUUAGAAUCUGCUGUAGGAGCUCCCUUUCACACACACGUCUGUAAGGAUCUAGUUUAUCUUCUGCAUAUUCCCACAAGAGGGAGUAUGUACGUUAAUAAAUACAGCUUUUAAGUUUAUGUAAACGUGUAUAGGAAAAAUUAGAUUUGGAUAAAUAAUUUGUCUGAAAUAUAUCAAGAAUUUUGGUUGUCCGAAUCUUAUAACUCUUAUAACUUUUAACUCAUAUCAUAUAUUUUAUACUCUCCCGUGAUUUUAGAUCACAUUAGUUUGAGCUACUCAUUACCACUUCUGCUUGUUACUCACUUCUUAUAUUAUGUUAAGAAUGUAGUUUAUUAUUAUUCCACACAUAUUCUCAGGGCCGGCUCAAGAUAUUGUGCUGCCUGGGUCAGAGAAUGAAAUGACACCCCCUGCCCCAGUAGUAACAUUACUGAUUAGCAUAUCAACCUACUAGCCUGGCCGCUGACCUUACUAAGCCUGCCUGCCUACCUGUUUGCAACUAAUGCUUAUGCAAUAUUGCACAAUAAGUGGGAAGGUAGUUAGGGAAGAGAUGCCCUUGUCCCACCUUGAAUGUUGCCCCUGACCAGUUUUGUGCCUUUGUGCAUGACUAGGAUAUACUGCUCAGAGCCUGCAACUUCCCCAUGAAGACACAAAAGUGGUCUGGGUCUGACAGUGACUGACUCAGUCAAUAAAGUGCUGCCCCUUUAUCAAUUGCUGCCUAGGUCCAUUGGACCCACUUGGUCCCAUGGUUUAGCCGGCUCUGCAUUAUCUUAGUAAUAUAGAUCACUUCUUACUAAUACUUAUAACAUUGGUGUGUCUUCCGUGUCCUUCUACCUUAGUCAGUACUCACCCCUUGUCCCAUUGUUUAGUUUAUUAUAUGAAACAUUAGUAUAAAGUAAUCUUCCCUAUCUCUUCCAUUUUAUACUGCACAAUCACAUUGCAAGUAAUUUCACACAUUGUUAGUGUUUAUAUUAUAUAUAUAUUGGGUUUCAAGUAUCGUUAUAGUCUUCACUAGCAUUUACUACACCAUUUAUUUGUGUCAACCAAUAUCAGAGACCAUAUUUUUAUCACGCUUAAUCUUAACCAUAUUUGCACGUAUUUAUUGUAUAAAUCUUUUGUCUUUUAUGUCAAGUAUUGACAGUGUCCAUCUAAUAUCAUACAGUGAAGUUAUUGUUACACUGUUUAUGCAGUUACUAUAGUGAUAUGACGUCUGCAGCCCUCCCAAUUGUUGUGCGAUUGGCCAGGAUGUUGAUUGCAGAUGCCUUCUUUCCCCACAAGUUUGUCUUGAUACAUUGGGGCCCAUUUAUCAAGCUCCGUAUGGAGCUUGUGGGCCCGUGUUUCUGACUUCAGACUCUUCAGACUCACCAGAAACACCAGUUAUGAAGCAGCGGUCAGAGCAGGCGGACAGGAAUCGCUGGAAAUCAACCCGAUCGAGUACGAUUGGGUUGAUUGACACCUCCCUGCUGGCGGCCCAUUGGCCGCGAGUCUGCAGGGGGCGGCGUUGCACCAGCAGCUCUUGUGAGCUGCUGGUGCAAUGCUGAAUACGGAGAGCAUAUUGCUCUCCGCAUCCAGCAAGGUCUUGCGGACCUGAUCCGCACUGUCGGAUCAGGUCCGCAAGACCUUUGAUAAAUAGGCCCCAUUGAAUCAUACAAAUACUUUUUUACACUUUUCCAUGCUGUUGCUCAAAUAUAUUGAUUUGAUACAUAGGGGUCUAUUUACAUAUGUGCGGACAGACAUGAUCUACUAUAGCGAACCAUGUCCGACGCACAUCAAUAAAUGCCGACAGCAUACGCUGUCGGCAUUAAUCAUUGCACCAGCAGUUCUUGUGAACUGCUGGUGCAAUACCAGCAGAAACAAGGGGAACAGGGGCCAUUCGACCCUUGUUAAAUAGACCAGAUUCAGUAUAUAUUCUGUGGAAUAUAGCAUCAAGUAUGGUCAGUGACUCUGUUAACUAUCGUGGGGUGGUCCCAGUGGGGCAUAUAUUUACAUUUUAUAUCAUUUUUGUGUAGGUAUAUUUCUGUCAAUGUAGUAUGGCUUAUAUAUUUCAUUCUUUAAACUGUAUAUGUUACUUUGAUGUUUGCCAAAUUUGUUUGGUUGUUUACCUGCAUGUCUGGUGCACAUAGUAACAAGCUGUGAAACAGGUGUAUUCUAUUAUCAUGUGACCUAUCACUGCAGAGGAUAGGGUUUUUAAAUUAGCAUGUGUUGUUAGUAUACCACUGUAUUAGCUUGAGGAAACAGUCCGGUUGAGACUGAGAAACACGUUGUUGUAUUUUAUAGUAAACAAAUCUUUUUUUAUCAA
Molecule: long non-coding RNA, 3052 nt
Organism: Bombina bombina (fire-bellied toad)
Lineage: Eukaryota; Metazoa; Chordata; Amphibia; Anura; Bombinatoridae
Exons: 2
Source: RefSeq, a predicted model, not a curated record